Molecule: long non-coding RNA, 1202 nt
Organism: Struthio camelus australis
Lineage: Eukaryota; Metazoa; Chordata; Aves; Struthioniformes; Struthionidae
Source: RefSeq, a predicted model, not a curated record
CGGGGGUCCUUCCUGGCCGCGCUUGCUGAAACUGGCUGUAACCCACCUCUGAGGCUGCACGCAUGUGUUCGUGUCCUGCCUGGGGUGAUUUCCUAGCUGAGGAGUCCAGUUCCAGAGACGUGCGUGGCCGAGGCCUGGUGUCUCCCAAGGCGUCGCUGCCUGACAGAUUGUGGGAACUGGAGAGUGAGCUGACAUAAAACAAAGACAACUCAAAAUCUUCUUGAACAACCUCCAUGCCCAUUCUGCCAUGUUGAAAAUCUAAGUAUGCCAUCCCUUGAAUACGGCUGGAAAGUGACUCCACUGUAACAGCGGAGACGCUCUGGAGCUGGCAGAAGCACGACCAGAACGUCAGCCGGGGCAGAGCAAGCAGCCCCCCCCGCCACACAGGCGGGAAAAGGCAGCAACGAAGACUGCGCACUAGACAACGAAAAUUUGAGGGAAGCAAAUACAAAACCAGCAUAUAAUAUUGGAAGUGAGUUAGCAGGUAACAGCUGAAAAAAAUGAAGAGUUGAAAACUGGCUGAGAAGUAACUUCUAGAAAAUUAAUCCGUUUUUAAGUAUAACAUAUCUGUUACAAAAUGGUAACUGCAGGUUUGUUCAGGUCACUUUUCAGCCAUUACCCUUGGGCGUCUGUGCUUUCAUACAACAUUGAGCUCCGCAGGCCUAGCAGCACGUGCGGCUACGCUCCACUGUCGGAGGCAUUUUGGACUUUUUUUUUUCCUGUUGAACCCAAACCGAUUGGCCAAAUUUACAAGUAUCCUGCACUAAUUUUUAUAUGCAUCUUAAGUUCUGCAGAUAAGUGGGAGCUGACUAACUAUACUUGUAUAUCUGAGAUACCGCUACGGAUACAAAGCAACUUAGAUACAGAAAAGAGAGACAGAAAUGCCCUUCUGCACUUAGAAUUUGACACAAUUCCAUGCACAUGUGUUUCAAAACAUAAUGCAACUCUGCAGCUCUCUACGGUGCCGUCUUGCUGGAAUUUGCACCUUCUUCAGAAAGAUUAACGUAAAAUUGUAGAGCCAAGGCUUCAGUAAGUAUUGCUAAAUCCCUUUACGGGAUAGGUCACUAAAACUAAACAGCUUUCAUACCACAUAGCAUGUCUGACAGAUAGGAAUAGAAAUAUUCCUAAGUUUUUCCCAGUAACUCCCUCACAAACUGCACUUACUCAAUUUUAAUUUACAAAUAACAAUGAAAAAUCAUUCU